This 70-nucleotide transfer RNA is filed under the name uncultured Porphyromonas sp. It matches the Rfam family "tRNA". Rfam says of the family: Transfer RNA (tRNA) molecules are approximately 80 nucleotides in length. Their secondary structure includes four short double-helical elements and three loops (D, anti-codon, and T loops). The record is from RNAcentral. Lineage: Bacteria; Pseudomonadati; Bacteroidota; Bacteroidia; Bacteroidales; Porphyromonadaceae.
CGGAAAUAGCUCAGUUGGUAGAGCGCAACCUUGCCAAGGUUGAGGUCGCGAGUUCGAGUCUCGUUUUCCG